This 865-nucleotide long non-coding RNA is filed under the name Homo sapiens (human). RNAcentral's name for it is "non-protein coding lnc-XAGE1B-1:2". The record is from RNAcentral. Lineage: Eukaryota; Metazoa; Chordata; Mammalia; Primates; Hominidae.
UGGCGACCUCUCUGGGUUCCAGCGCCUAAAACAGGCAAAACUGGGAGGACGUCGAUUUCUCCAUUCUGUGCCAGAUAUGUCUCAGAGAAACAUGACCAAGGAGAACUAUGAGAAAAAAUGCAAACUCUGUCAGGCCAUUCAGUGUUUGGCUGGUGCCCGGGGGAGCACAUGCAUCCCAAGAAGACUGAAGGGGGCCAAGCCUGCAGGAAAUGUCUGUCAGACUUGCCUCUUAGACCUAGAGUAUGACUGCCCAUACAGGUUCAUGACACAGACUUGCCUUUAAAGGUGACUGCAGAUAUGGACAGAGGAAUUUCUAACCCUGAUAGAACAUGGCCAGUUGCUCUGCUGGGGAAAGCCACGUCCAGUAGUGAGAUGCUGCUCAAACUGGCCCGGACCACACUGUACUGGCUGAGGAAUAAGCCUUACAUUUGUUCUGUCCAGGUGAAAGGAGAGGACUGUCCGUAAAGACAUGAGAAGCCUGCAGAUCCCGAUGACCCCCUCUUGCUGGUCAAAAUAUUAAAGAUCGAUAUUGUGGAAACAAUGACCCUGUAGCAGAUAAGCUUCUAAAGCAGGCUUCAACCACGCUUCAUCUUGAAUCACCAGCAGAGAAGGAUUCCACCAGAGUGUAUGUUGGUGAUCUGGCGGAUACCAUUACUCAGACAGAUUUAAGAAAUUGUCUCUGCCUGUUGGUGAGAUCCGGAUGGUCACCGUUGUGCAGAGAUAGCAGUGUGCCUUUCAUCCAGCUUUCCACAGGGUGGCUACAGAAGUGGGUGCCGACAAGUCCUCUAAUAAACUGAUUGUCAAUGGCUGCAGACUCCGUGUAAAAUGGGGACGAUUCCAAGCACUCAAGGGGAAAAAAAAAAAA